Molecule: long non-coding RNA, 1853 nt
Organism: Gasterosteus aculeatus aculeatus (three-spined stickleback)
Lineage: Eukaryota; Metazoa; Chordata; Actinopteri; Perciformes; Gasterosteidae
Source: Ensembl
GCACACUCAGUGAGAAAUUACCCGCACGUGACCGCAGAAGACUCCAAAAAGGCAAAACGAGCGAGAGGAUCAAAUGAAAAGCCGCAGGAAUUCUUCCCCGUUUCUUCCCGCGCAGCUUGAGCGAACGUGCAUUCGCACUCGCGCGCAUGCACGCACGCGCCCCGGUCUGCAGCGAGGCGAGGACAGUCGGGCACACGCGCAGACACGCGCCGCGCGGCGUUUGACGUCGUCUCUCACCCCGCCGUAACCUUUCACGCGUGCAGCCGCACAGGAGUGCACGUGCACGCGCGCGCGUACUCAGGCUGCCCGGCUGAAAGCGCGUGAGGAGAAAAUGAGAAACGCCAGUGAAGAAAUGGGUGUGUACGCGCUGGGGGCGGGACCAGGCACGUGAUUGACAGCCCAGGUGACCACUGAGUCGCGGCGCAUCAUUUAUGAAUGUAAGAAAUCAGCUGUUAAUGAAAGAAACGAGAAUGUUCUACACACACCGACCUGCUCAAAUCAUUUAGGAUGGAUGGACCUUCUGUCUGCGGCGCGCCACCCGUUCCCACAAUCCUUAGCGUGUAACCACACCUGUUUACCACGAGGUAGCACAUCCAGUCAAAGGUCCACGUCCUCGUCUCUGGGACGAAAACACCACUAAGUCUCACACCGUUUGUCCCUUCGUUGACCUGUGAUGAUGGAGACAGAUGAACCCCCUGGAGGAGACGGAGGAGACCUUUGGAUCAUCUCAUCACAGCUCUUUGUCUCCACCUGGAGGUGACGUGUGAGGAUGCACGUUAGCGGUCAUGUUGUCGACAGCAGCAGCAGGACGCUGAGGUCGGAGUGCGACAGGAAGCCGUCACGUCCAGGUGAAGACAGGCGUCCACGCUCACCCGAAGGAGGACAAUGUGACAAUGAGAGAGAACAAAUGGGACCUUCUGAUACGAUCAAAGUCUUCUCUCCAGGACUCAGUGUUGGAUGACGCGAGCGCUGAAUGGACCGAACAGAACCCGGGGAGACAACACAGGUGAAUUAAAGCUGAUUCACGUGUCAUGUGCUGCUGGUGUCGAAGCUCAGGACCAAAGAUCAAGUUCUGAUCUGUGCCUGGAGACGUAGAGAUGGAGGAGCUCACAAGCACAGCUGAACAAUUAAUGACGAGUUAUUCUGCUAAAACAGUAAAUGUUCAUAAUAAUCGUGCACAGGUUGGAAUAUCUUUGACAAUAGCUUUACUUCGACAGACAAUUUUCAUUUGGUUUUAGUCUUUUUUAGGGAUGUUUUUCUUCCAUGUCUUAUUUCAGAGCGGUGAGUAGAAGAAAAAUAUCCCAAAUACAUAUUACAUUGUUUGUCUACUUUAGAUUUCUGCUAAAUUCAAAGAGUUACCAUUACUUAACAACGAAUUUGCAUACUCAAAAUUACAUUUGAGGAAACUCAUAACGCUCCAAAUGUGGUGAUGAGCUGCUGAGGUUGAUGUUUACUCGUUGAUUCUUUGAUGUUCUUCCGUUCUUGUCGUCAUGGACUAAACUUCUCUCCUUAAAAUGAGUUUGUUCUCACGCUCUGAUCCAGAAUCCUCCUUCAGGAGCUCUUACAUCAGCGACUUUACAGCUUAACUCCUCUGCUCUGGAGGUUUGUUCACACUUCAUUCACACACUCUUAUACUACAUUUGUUAUUAAAACAUGGAGGAAAUUUAUGGAUUGUACCCUCUUAAAUUAAGUAAAAAAACUUUGGGCAGUUUACAAGAUGAUCUAUUUGAAAACGGGAGUAAAAACUAUAAAAUAUUGAAAUAUAGAAAUAUGCUUUUUGAGCUGAUAUUUUUGUCUUUGCCUGUUGAAUGAAGCCAAACCAAGUGAACAUGUGGAUUCAAUUUGGAGACACA